GAGAGAGAUUUGUAAUAACAAAGACUGCUAAUCUUUGCCCCCUUGGUUAAAUUCCAAGGCUCACUCGAACG
Molecule: transfer RNA, 71 nt
Filed under: Petenia splendida (bay snook)
Lineage: Eukaryota; Metazoa; Chordata; Actinopteri; Cichliformes; Cichlidae
Description: tRNA-Ser
Source: RNAcentral